CCGCCUGGGGAGUACGGUCGCAAGAUUAAAACUCAAAGGAAUUGACGGGGGCCUGCACAAGCGGUGGAGCAUGUGGUUUAAUUCGAAGCAACGCGCAGAACCUUACCAGCCUUUGACAUCCUAGGACGGUUUCUGGAGACAGACUCCUUCCCUUCGGGGACCUAGUGACAGGUGCUGCAUGGCUGUCGUCAGCUUGUGUCGUGAGAUGUUGGGUUAAGUCCCGCAACGAGCGCAACCCUCGUCCUUAGUUGCCAUCAUUUAGUUGGGCACUUUAAGGAAACUGCCGGUGAUAAGCCGGAGGAAGGUGGGGAUGACGUCAAGUCCUCAUGGCCCUUACAGGCUGGGCUACACACGUGCUACAAUGGCAUCUACAGUGGGCAGCUAUCCCGCAAGGGUGAGCUAAUCUCCAAAAGAUGUCUCAGUUCGGAUUGUCCUCUGCAACUCGAGGGCAUGAAGGCGGAAUCGCUAGUAAUCGCGGAUCAGCAUGCCGCGGUGAAUACGUUCCCAGGCCUUGUACACACCGCCCGUCACACCAUGGGAGUUGGAUUCACCCGAAGGCAGUGCGCUAACCGCAAGGAGGCA
This 582-nucleotide ribosomal RNA is filed under the name uncultured bacterium. RNAcentral describes it as "bacterial SSU rRNA". It matches the Rfam family "Bacterial small subunit ribosomal RNA", at positions 869 to 1451 of the family's 1533-position model. The record is from RNAcentral.